UGUGCCUACGGGAGGCAGCAGUCGGGAAUAUUGCGCAAUGGAGGAAACUCUGACGCAGUGACGCCGCGUAUAGGAAGAAGGUUUUCGGAUUGUAAACUAUUGUCGUGAGGGAAGAAAUUGACAGUACCUCAGGAGGAAGCUCCGGCUAACUAUGUGCCAGCAGCCGCGGUAAUACAUAGGGAGCAAGCGUUAUCCGGAUUUACUGGGUGUAAAGGGAGCGUAGACGGUUCUGCAAGUCUGAAGUGAAAGCCCGUGGCUUAACCGCGGAACGGCUUUGGAAACUGUGGAACUGGAGUGCUGGAGAG
Molecule: ribosomal RNA, 305 nt
Filed under: uncultured bacterium
Lineage: Bacteria
Description: bacterial SSU rRNA
Rfam family: Bacterial small subunit ribosomal RNA
Source: RNAcentral